UGGGGAAUAUUGGACAAUGGGGGCAACCCUGAUCCAGCAAUGCCGCGUGUGUGAAGAAGGUCUUCGGAUUGUAAAGCACUUUCGACGGGGACGAUGAUGACGGUACCCGUAGAAGAAGCCCCGGCUAACUUCGUGCCAGCAGCCGCGGUAAUACGAAGGGGGCUAGCGUUGCUCGGAAUGACUGGGCGUAAAGGGCGUGUAGGCGGUUUACACAGUCAGAUGUGAAAUCCCCCGGGCUUAACCUGGGAGCUGCAUUUGAUACGUGUAGACUAGAGUGUGAGAGAGGGUUUGUGGAAUUCCCAGUGUAGAGGUGAAAUUCGU
This 321-nucleotide ribosomal RNA is filed under the name uncultured bacterium. Its description in RNAcentral is "partial 16S ribosomal RNA". It matches the Rfam family "Bacterial small subunit ribosomal RNA", at positions 355 to 691 of the family's 1533-position model. The record is from RNAcentral.